UCGUGCGGUACGGACUGACGGACGGAUGGUUUUUCUUGUUGGGGAAGUAUAGAAAUGCUUACGUUAUAAAAAAAAAUCGCAGGGUUCGCGAAUUUCGCGAUAAGAACCAACACCAACCUACUCCCCCACCCCCCGCUGAGCGAUGCCGUCUUGAUCGCCCCCUCCCAACCCCAGGAAAAGGGACACUACCUUUCUAUCUCAGUUGAAGAAAGGAUGAUGAAGCGUUAACAACGACAAUAACGGCAUUUUCUAACGAGUUGUCUUAUGGCCUCUGAGAUUUGCGCGCGAAGCUGGCGCGCGCGAACCUGAGAGGCCAUAAUUGGCCGCUUAAUAGCAUAAAAAGACAAAGAUAAUGCCAAACGACACAACUAAAAAUUCAAACAAAGAACUGAUCUUAGCUAUACUGUUUGGGGAAAAGAAAUAAAAAAUUAGACAGCCGCAACACACGCCACUAAAGCCACCACCGCCGGCAUAACGCGGAACCAACUGUUGGCAACAUUCAUUCGCGCGUCAUUGCUUCGUCCGCGUCGUCUCCGCAACGAGAGCCGCCAUCUUCUCGCGCCUAACGUUUUGUAUGGUUUUGUUCUCUGCAAUCCGCGCACACAGCUCAUCGGUGGCUGCACGUCUGCUCGGCGUCGCAAUGCGGCCUGCGUCAUUUUCUGGUGCUCGCGCAAUCGGUGUGAAACAUGUCGCAUGUGAAAUGUUUGAUAGAAGUGCCUCACGUCCAAGUCAAGCCGCCGUACGGGUGUAUGGCUGUGCGCCCCGUUCUCGGAAGCGUCGACGGGUUUCCGGCAUGCGGAUUUCAGCGUUUGGACUCUACUUUUGGUGAGGAUGUCGAUCGACCUUGGGCCUGGCGACAGCACACCCGACAUCGCCAAAGUGCAGCCUAUCAGUUGAGUGCCCCCGAAUGGACCAUCAACAUUGGAAAAUGAAGCAGAGCCAGGGGGAAAAGGUUCCGGUAACACUGCAUUCAGUAUGGUGGCCCAGACGUGUAUGCAAGCAACCUCCUUCAUGUGGACCAAGAACUACUCUGCAGUGUCUCACAGACUUCCAUGCGAAGCCCUCAACAUUCUCGUCUCAGUGGAAUGGCUGCUCAUCUAUCUGCGUGUCCAUCACCAAGAUGGCCAGUUGUAAAGCUCCUGUACCCGUUUAAGACAGCUUAAUGAUUUUUUUUAUUUAGUUUUCAUGGUUGGCCGUAGAAUCUUAACAUUUUUGAUGUUUCUAACGUUUUUACCUGGCCCAAAGUGGUGCAAUAACUUUAAACCAGUGUAAUGUAUUUAAGUGAUGCUCACUCUAAUGCCUAUCUGGUUUUGUUUGUGUUUAAGAAAUUUGAAUGUCUGAUGAGGUAACAGCAUUUAAACUUGUCAUCGUGGCUCUUUUCAGUGAGCUGCUAGGAAAUAAGAUGCAAAACUUAUCACACGCCAGUUGUAGCAUUUUUGUUUUCAAGACUAAAGUAUACAUGUUUCAAAAGAUGGAAAGUGGGGAAAAAAGCCUCAAGAACAUAAUCAUCCUAGGAUUGUCAUGUCCUUACAACUCUGCAAUGACUAAUGCCUCAUACAUCUUGGGAGCACAUUGGUCGCAAUGCCUACAGGUAUACUUGAUAAGAGAAUAGCUUGCACUCAGAUUUGCCACGCAGUUGAUGGCUGAUAGCUUUUGUUUGUCGUCUUCAUGUUACUACUAUGUAUUCAAUAUUCAUUUACAUGUGCUGCGGUUUUUUGCAGUCACACACACACACACACA
Dermacentor albipictus is the source of this 1740-nucleotide long non-coding RNA. RefSeq lists it as uncharacterized. The record is from RefSeq and is a predicted model, not a curated record. Lineage: Eukaryota; Metazoa; Arthropoda; Arachnida; Ixodida; Ixodidae.